CGCUACGGUUCCGGGUUCAGGCCCAUCCUGCCAGAUUCCAAGAUGUUGCCCAGCCAAUCACCCCCUCCCGCGGGAGGACCAAAUUCCAAGCACUCAGCGCGGGCCAGUGCUGCUCUCCAAGCCGGCUCUGUUCUCCGUUGGACACGUCCUCCUGCCCAGGUCCUCGGGCUCGCCAACCCCUGGCUGUGAGUUGGACGGGCUCCAGCCUUCCGUCCACGUUUCCCUUUCUUUCUUUCUUUCUUUCUUUUUCUUUUUCCUCAGUUUCUUCCUGGGUCAUGAGAGUCCUCUCCUUUCGUCCGGUCUUCUCCAUGGUGGUAAAUGCUAGCGUCUGAGCUGUUCCUCUCAGAGAGGUUUCUUACCUUGAAACAUAGCUCUCCGCCAUCUUGAUGCCGCCUCCUAUUCGUUACCACUUAAUAAUGAUUUCUGCUGGCCACAGACGGUGCCAGGCACUGUGGGGAAACAAGGACAAAUCCUAGAGCUAGCGGAAGGUCCGUCCCAGGGACCUGCUGCCGCCUCUGAGGCCACAGGGCUGUUGCAUGUGCUACACUGCUCAGCAGGCCACAGAGAUGCUGGGGCUGGCUUGGGACAGUGCUCUCUGGUGGCCGUGCUGAUCUUCACCACUGGCUCACAAGUGUCCGGGACUCUGUCACAGAGUGGUGGACCGACCACCCCCGCCCCGUCCCAGCCCUCCCUUUCUUCAUCUGGACAAUGGGACUCCCAGAAAUGAUGGGGAACCCUGUGGUGAUAUUUGCUUUUUAAAAAUUUUUUGACUUUUUGAGACGGGGUCUCACCAUGCAGUUUAGGCUGGACUUGAGCUCACUUUGUAGCCCAGGCUGAUCUUGGACUUGCCAGGAUCCUCCUGCCUCAGCCUCCCGAGUGUGCCACCAUGCCCAGGUGACAUUUGCAAUCCAGAGGGAACGUGCAUGCUGAGGAUGAAUGAGGCAGAACUGCCACACCAGGGGCUGGGCAGUGGGACGUGGGUGCUGCCGUCUCAGCGGGAGUCUGCUCCUCCUGGGCACCUGCAGAGCCCUGCUCAGGUGGGGGAGCCAGACCCAGGCCCACACGGCCCUGAGGGUCUAGAGGGCAAGGGGAGCUGGCCCUGGCCGGUGGAAAUUUCCUAGAGCGGUUUACUUGGAAGCAAAGGGCUUGGCAGAGCCUCCCAGGCUUCCCCGCCAGACAAGGCCUCUUUGAAGAGAGUCAAAAACAGCAGGAAAAUGGGGGACAUGGGGGGGGGCUGAGCGGGGUCCACUGUUUC
This 1255-nucleotide long non-coding RNA is filed under the name Cavia porcellus (domestic guinea pig). RNAcentral describes it as "lncRNA (ENSCPOG00000030844.1)". The record is from RNAcentral. Lineage: Eukaryota; Metazoa; Chordata; Mammalia; Rodentia; Caviidae.